GGAUGCGAGGGCGAUCUGGCUGCAACAUCUGUCGCAGGGUUGAUUCAGCUGAUCUGGCUGGCUAGGCAGGUGUCCCCUUCCUCCCUCACUGCUCCAUGUGCAUCCCUCCCGAAGCUGCGUGCUCAGUCAAAGAGGACGACAGGUGUCCCCUUCCUCCCUCACUGCUCCAUGUGCAUCCCUCCCGAAGCUGCGUGCUCAGUCAAAGAGGACGACCAUCCCCGCUAGAGGAGGACCAGUCUUCGGUCAAGGGUAUACGAGUAGCUGCGCUCCCCUGCUAGAACCUCCAAAGAAGCUCUCAAGAGUCACGCCUUCAUUAUUUCUUGCCUCUGGGCAAACAUUCAAGACAAAUCCAGGCAUAAUCCAAAUAGGGAAAUACAGUCUCUGCUUU
This 388-nucleotide small nuclear RNA is filed under the name Chlorocebus sabaeus (green monkey). RNAcentral describes it as "7SK RNA". It matches the Rfam family "7SK RNA". Rfam says of the family: 7SK was discovered as an abundant small nuclear RNA in the mid-70s but a possible function has only recently been suggested. Two independent studies have found that 7SK RNA binds the CDK9/cyclin T complex (known as elongation factor P-TEFb). P-TEFb activates transcription by phosphorylating the C-terminal domain of RNA polymerase II. The record is from Rfam by way of RNAcentral. Lineage: Eukaryota; Metazoa; Chordata; Mammalia; Primates; Cercopithecidae.